This is a long non-coding RNA of Homo sapiens (human), 975 nucleotides long. RefSeq lists it as uncharacterized. The transcript has 4 exons. NCBI's taxonomy places the organism in Eukaryota, Metazoa, Chordata, Mammalia, Primates, Hominidae. The record is from RefSeq and is a predicted model, not a curated record.
ACCACGUUCUUCGUUCAUCCAGAAGAAACAACUCCUUGUCUGUUCAAGUUUGAUCAUGAGAUUACAGCAAUUCGGUCACAUCUCCAGGCUCCCCUUCUAAUUCUGGUUUUCUUAACUAUUUUCACCACGCCUGAAAUUUCUUCAUCCACUGAAGCCUUGAACCCCUCAAAGUCAUCCAUGAGGGCUGGAAUCAACUUCUUCCAAACUCCCGUUCAUGUUGAUAUUUUGACUUCCUCCCAUGAAUCAUGAAUUUUCUUAAAGGCAUCAAGAAUGGGGAAUCCUUUCCAGAAGAUUUUCAAUUUGCUGUGCCCAGAUCCAACAGAAGAAUCACUAUCUAUGACAGCUAUAGCCUUACAAGAUGUAUUUCUUAAAUAAUAAUGCUUUAAAGUCAAAGUAACUCCUUGAACCAUGGACUGCAGAAUGAAUGUUGUGUUAGCAGGCAUGAAAACAAUAUUAAUCUCUUUGAACAUCUCCAUCGAACCUCUUGGGUGACCAGGUGCAUUGCCAAUAAGCAGUAAUAUUUUGAGAGGAAUCUUCAUUUCUGGGCAUCGAGUCCCAAUAGUGGGCUUAAAAUACUCAGCAAACCAUGCUAACCUGUUGUCUGCCAUGACCAGGAGCUCCAUUCUCACACCUCUCUUUCUGGCCUCGCUCAUCUCAGCCCAUGCAACAUAAAACAGAUUAAGACCGAAGUCCAGCCAGAAUGAAGGUCUUGAGGUAGGAAAGAACAUGGCCAAGUUCACACAACUGGAAGAAAGUCAGUGAGGCUGGAGCAAACAAAGGAAGCAGAGAGUUACAAGACAGACAGUUGUCUCCUGGCCUGUUAAAUGUGUCCAUGACUACACAGAAAUUCCUGCCUAUUGCCUGCUUUCCUGAUGGAGAAGUUCAUGAUCUGCAAUAAUCAUCAGUGAACUGCAGCCUUUAUGCCAAUUCUGGCCCACUGCUUGUUUUUUUCAAUAAAGUUUUGUUGGAACACAG